Molecule: non-coding RNA, 45 nt
Filed under: Schistosoma margrebowiei
Lineage: Eukaryota; Metazoa; Platyhelminthes; Trematoda; Strigeidida; Schistosomatidae
Source: RNAcentral
AUCCAACUAACGAGUCCCAAAUAGGACGAAACGUGCGUUGUGGAU